GUCUCUUCGGAGACAUCCGAUAAAAUUGGAACGAUACAGAGAAGAUUAGCAUGGCCCCUGGAGCUUAUACUUAUUAUCGCAGUUAUGCCCUCGGUUCUU
Molecule: small nuclear RNA, 99 nt
Filed under: Oryza sativa Indica Group (long-grained rice)
Lineage: Eukaryota; Viridiplantae; Streptophyta; Magnoliopsida; Poales; Poaceae
Source: RNAcentral